This is a non-coding RNA of Phoenix dactylifera (date palm), 263 nucleotides long. The record is from RefSeq and is a predicted model, not a curated record. Lineage: Eukaryota; Viridiplantae; Streptophyta; Magnoliopsida; Arecales; Arecaceae.
UUCCCUUUGAUCUCCGAUUAAUGAGGAAGCAAGUGAUAAAGUUUUGGAGGUGGAACAGAAAUAUAACGAGGUUCGCAGACCUGUCUACAUUAAACGGAAUGAAAUCAUCCAAUCCAUUCCAGACUUUUGGUUAACUGCGUUUCUUUAGUUGGUUUGGUGAAACUGAACUGAAAAAUUUCUCAGAUGGAGUAACAGAUGAGGUGGCAGAGAUUAUCAAGGAAGAUUUAUGGCCCAACCCUUUGAAAUAUUUUAAUAAUGCAAGU